GAUUAGGGUUAUAGAUUCUCUUUAAGGCAAAGGCUUAUACAACCUGUCAGGUGGUGAAGAUACUGCACAUGAAGCAUUCUGACGUGGCUCACCUCUGCAGGACAUGGGUCAGCUUGGGAUGGGGACAGGAAACACUGUCCUGUCUGAUGUAGGUGUUCCAGCAGGCCAGCCCUGUGAAGACAGAUGCAGGGCCCUCCCUCAUGAAGGGAAAAAAGAAUGAUAAUUUGAGCUGCUCUUGCAUAAUAGCAAGUUAAUAAAGUCACAUGAGAAUAUUGUCACUAUGCUUGGAUUUAGUGAACUUAACUCUAAGACUUUGUAAAAUGUUAUUUUCCAUGCUGAAUUUAAUUUUCAUUGAUGUAUAUUUUGUAAAUUGACACAACUCCUACGGUUAGUAAAAAAUGUAAAUAUGUGUAAACAAAACUAAAAGUAGGCGCAUAUUCAUAAAAGAUAUUAUAAAAAUAAUCUUUUACAUACCCAGUGCCCUAACACUUGCUUAUUCAAAACUGAACAAUGACUGGAAUCCAUCCAGAUGCAGACAAAUGCUAAAUACUGCCAGUAUACUGCCAGUAUAAAACCACUCUCUCUUGGUAGUACUCAGUGUCCCUGUGGGAAUAGUGACUCGUACAUUGCCAUCCAUAAUAGCUGCUUUCCCAGGAGCAGAGGGGAAGAGAAUGUUUGUACAACCAACUUUGCUGCCUUCAGUGGAUUUAUGUGACUAUGUAAUGGAGUAAUGGAGAUUAACAAGAAAGUGCUGUUUAUUUUCAGAGACUGUAUGGAACUCAGCAGAAAAGGUUUUUUGUAUCCCUACAUACACAUAUACACACACCCAGUAUCAGCUGUCUGGAAUUAACUUUUACACAAAUCUGGCACGGAGUCUGGCUGUUCUAGAGACUUUCUUUUUCUCCAGAAGCUGGAAUUAAUGAAGAUACUAUGUCUACUGAAAAAUGAGAUUUUUGGAAAGUAGAAGCAGGGCAUUCUCAGUAUGUGUAAUUUAUAUUCAGUCUACAUAUGGUAUGUGAAAGUUCUCUUUAAUUUUUUGUACAUAUAUAAAAUGAUCUGUUUGGGAAAAGACAUUUGCCUUUGUCAAAUAACGAUCUUAGAAAACUCAUAGAAAAGGAAAAUAAGCAAACUCCAUUUUCAAAGACAGGGGUUCAAUAGUUUUUCUAUAACAAGCAGUCAAUUUGGGGAUUUUUUUGGCCGUACUGAAAACUGAAGCAAAAAGAAUUGUCCAGAAAUCAGAUAGGUUUUCAAAAAAAUCCAUCAAUAUUUUACUAGAAAUCAAAGUAAACAUAAAAAUGUCUUUCAGUCAAAUAAAUUGUUGAAAUGCCCUUUUUGCUUUUCCCAGGAUGAAUGUUGCAGUAAUUGUAGCUUAAAGAGUUUAUAUAAAAAUUUUAAAUAACAAAAUGUAGAAGGUUACAAUCCAGAAAUAUCAGAAUAUUCUACAGUAUCUACUUUCUUAUUUUAUCUUAAAUUCAACCUUUUUACAAUAAGCUUAGUUAGAAGAAGAAAGCUAUCAGUGUAAGGGAAAAUAUAAUAGGAAAUACUGUUAAAUAUAGAGAAAAAGACAGAGUGCUUUCCCUUUUACUCAUUUUUGGAGCUUGCAGGUGGUUAAGUUCCUUAAGGAUGUUUUGGAAUUCCAAAACUAUGGUUAUUUUCCUCUUUUCUACUAAUAUUUUAUACAACUAUAUUGUAUGGUUGGUAAGAUUGCAUUUUUUAAUCUGGUAGAAAUCUGGGUUUUCUUCUGGACAACUGAGUGAUGAGUUCAGUUUGGAUUGUUCUAAAAGCCCUACGAUAAGGCAGGUUCUUAGGCUGUACAAUCUACAAAGAAUUAAAAUAAAUUAUGUUUAUUUAUUUAUAGGUUAUUUGUGGGAAAGCAAAAUAUAACAAUGGAUGCUUUCAGAAUUUGAGAAGAAAAGUCACCAAAACCACCUCUUGGUUUUGGAUAUUAAAAAAGGAUAUAUAUGCUUCAGCUAACAUAUGUACCUAUAGCAACCUACUGUUUUUGUCAGUACAAAAAAUGUUUUUAAAUAUAAUUAUAUGUUUACGGUUUGAAAGUUCUUGUACAUUUUCAUGAUCUACAGCCAGUUAGGGCUCUUGCAUGACAGCAGCUGAGGAUCUGAACUAAACUUGGUUAGGUCCUUUCAGCACUAUGUUUGCAACUUUCUGGUAAAAUUACCACCUGUAGUCACAACAAUAGAUUUAGUUACAGAACUGUAUUUUAUGAGGUUUCCUAAACACUUGUAACCAUUUAUUCUCCCCAAAAUCGUAUUUGUGUGGGCUGCAGACAGCGUGGGGGGUGUCCUAGGGAAGGUCAGACAGGGGCAGUCCGGGCAGGUAGGUAGUUCCUGCAGGGUCCUGAGAUUUUUUCAAAUGACAACUUCGUGCCUUUGCUUGAUGGACGUGCCAGUCUGCAUGGUACUAAUUCACGCUUACCACUUGCUUCUUGGUGAAAUAACUGCUCUUUGAUCUACAAAUACCAAUUGCAAUAUUAAUUGUACAUUUCUGUAAUAAAUUUUCAAGAAGCGAUUUUAUGAGUACUAAGCUUCAAACUUUCACCUUUGAUCUGAUACAAAGUGAAGCUAAGUAGAAACUGCAUCACUGUCUUUAAACUGAAGAUAGAUAUUAUUAUAUUAGCAUUAAGUGCCAAAAUUUUGGGCUGCUUCAUGUUGAGACUGUUGAAUAAAGCACUACAUUUUAAUUUUUUACAAACAGAAACAAAAGCAAAGAUUGCAACAGUUAUUCCUAGAAGUCUUACUACUUUUAUCAUAACUACUUAGGAAAGGGCUGCCUUCCCACAAAGCAUUAUAAAAAUUUUUUUUCACUCUAUUUAGUGCAAGAAACAGCAAAAAAGUUUGUAAUGAAGAUUUUACUGACAUACUUUCUUAGAAACUGUAUGCUCCCUCUGAAAAUAAAGUCAAACUGAAUUCUUAAGUACCAGUAUCAGUAAAGCUGUCAAGGUGUGUGUAUACAGCAAAAUGCAGUGCUAUGAAGAGUUGUGGAGCAUCUCUGUGGAGCAGUUGAGAGGAAUAGUUGUCUACUGCCCACUGAAUCUGCCAAAUACGUAUGUGAGGUAUUUGUUAGAUUAUAACAAGCCUUUUCCCCAUGAAUUACAUUUUCAAAUGACACAGUAUACAUGCAGCAUUCGCCCAGAGCUUUGUAGUACAAAUUACAGGGUUUACUAUUACUUAUUUAUAUUGAAAAGCCAAAGAAUCACUGAUGUUUUUAUAAUGAAUCAAUUAGUGUCACAAACAUCACUUUACAUCUGAGAUUAGAUUGCUACAAUACCCUUGAUGCUGUUAUGUUAUGAUUAGCAGCCGUCUGUGAAAUAGAAAUAAUUUGCUUCAAAGACCAUAGAAGUCCUUUUCUGGGGUUGAUUGAAGUACAGUAUCUUUUACAAUUAUUCCCCGUAUAGUAGUACAAUCCACUUAAAACAUACUUUAUUGUUAUGGAAGCUCUAGUUCUCCUUGUCUACCAUACGUGGGAAAUAAACUUAGCAUUUUAAGAGUUUAUGUUAUUUAAAGGCAAAACCACUAUAUUUAGUUUAACAGAAGUAUACAUAUGCUAUGAAAUUGACUUACUGGAGCAGUUAUAUGAGUACGAAUUAUAUUUCCACAUUCUCUAGUGCUAGGGAAAACUAGCAUAAAAAAUCAAGUCGGGAUAAUUACUGUAAGUUUUGCUAUUUUUUGCAGGGAAGGCAGGGUUUCAGCCCUGAAUGUAAGAAGGUCAGAUGCAUCACUACAUUUUAAAUUUGUGAGAUUCCUCCCUUUCCCCACCCCAGCCCCCCACCCCCCCAAAAAAGCUGCCUUUGGAGGGAGUACUUUGGUGAGCUAAAAUAUAGGAAAAAGCUCUGGUAACUAGAAAGGUGUAUAUAUCCAUCAUUAGUAUGCUGAAAAAAAAUGGAAUUGUCACUGCUUGUUCUUAUUUUAUUUAGGGCAUUUUUCUCAAGAGAUCUCUGUUUUUUACUUGAAAAAUACUUGAGGCACAGUUUGAAGUAAACACAUCAGUACCUGUGAAUCCAGACAGAAAGAUUUUUUGCUGCUGGAACUCUAAAGUUCACAAGCACUUUGUGUGAAAAGGAGUUCCAAUUCCUUUUUGAAAGAUGAAUGUGAAAUACACUUGGCUCCAAAUUUAUGCUUUGAAAUUAUUUUUAGAAAAGCAAAAAAUCCAAUAGCAGUUUUUAGGUCUUUUUGUAAUAUUCACAGCCCAUUACUUUUUCGCUAAAUGAUAAUGCCAGUAAGUAAACAUAAAAUACAUGGCAUUAUCAUUCAUUCUGCCUGCUAAAUGCUGGCAGUUAAGUAACAACUAUAUUAGCUCCAUGGAGCAUAAAACCAUAGCCUAGUAUGUUGCUGUGGUGUUACAAAAAAUAGACUAUUUUUUGACAAUCAGGAGACAUCUGUGAAUAAGUAUUGAUGGAUGUUCUCUCAAAAAACCCUAAGUAAUGCAUCCUUUAUAACUAGAGUGAAUUGCUUUUCAAAGCUGUGAUAGCAGUAGAUUACAAAAUGCUCUGUAGAUUAAAAAGACUAGCUCAAUGUAUGUAAGCAGCUAAAAAAAAAUUUCAAUAUAAAAAGCCAAAUUUGCAAGUAUAUGAUAUUUUGCAUGCAGGAACCUGUCAACUCUUCAGUUUAUUUUAUUAAAUUAUAAGUACACUAUAUACUUCUUUAUCAAUAGUCUACAUUUAUGUUUGCUCAGAGGUACAUGUUGUAUACCAAAGUUUCCUCCAUUGACUUUACAUUGACUUUACAUUGAAAGUAAGUGUCAUUUGCAUGCCGGUUUCUGGCCUAAGUUAAAAUUUGUCUGCAGUGCCAAUAUGUAGAAAAUUAUAUGUUUCGUUUUCAUUGUGG
Falco peregrinus (peregrine falcon) is the source of this 4841-nucleotide long non-coding RNA. RefSeq lists it as uncharacterized. The record is from RefSeq and is a predicted model, not a curated record. Lineage: Eukaryota; Metazoa; Chordata; Aves; Falconiformes; Falconidae. The transcript has 3 exons.